Molecule: ribosomal RNA, 468 nt
Filed under: uncultured bacterium
Lineage: Bacteria
Description: partial 16S ribosomal RNA
Rfam family: Bacterial small subunit ribosomal RNA
Source: RNAcentral
GACGAACGCUGGCGGCGUGCUUAACACAUGCAAGUCGAACGGAAAGGCCCUGCUUUUGUGGGGUGCUCGAGUGGCGAACGGGUGAGUAACACGUGAGUAACCUGCCCGUGACUUUGGGAUAACUUCAGGAAACUGGGGCUAAUACCGGAUAGGAGCUCCUGCUGCAUGGUGGGGGUUGGAAAGUUUCGGCGGUUGGGGAUGGACUCGCGGCUUAUCAGCUUGUUGGUGGGGUAGUGGCUUACCAAGGCUUUGACGGGUAGCCGGCCUGAGAGGGUGACCGGCCACAUUGGGACUGAGAUACGGCCCAGACUCCUACGGGAGGCAGCAGUGGGGAAUAUUGCACAAUGGGCGGAAGCCUGAUGCAGCAACGCCGCGUGCGGGAUGACGGCCUUCGGGUUGUAAACCGCUUUCGCCUGUGACGAAGCGUGAGUGACGGUAAUGGGUAAAGAAGCACCGGCUAACUACGUG